UACUGCAAAUAGCAGGUGGCUUGU
RNAcentral lists this non-coding RNA (24 nucleotides) under Rattus norvegicus (Norway rat). Lineage: Eukaryota; Metazoa; Chordata; Mammalia; Rodentia; Muridae. The record is from RNAcentral.